Molecule: ribosomal RNA, 528 nt
Filed under: uncultured bacterium
Lineage: Bacteria
Description: bacterial SSU rRNA
Rfam family: Bacterial small subunit ribosomal RNA
Source: RNAcentral
ACCCUUGACAUGUCUGGAAUGCCGAAGAGAUUUGGCAGUGCUCGCAAGAGAACCGGAACACAGGUGCUGCAUGGCUGUCGUCAGCUCGUGUCGUGAGAUGUUGGGUUAAGUCCCGCAACGAGCGCAACCCUUGUCAUUAGUUGCUACGAAAGGGCACUCUAAUGAGACUGCCGGUGACAAACCGGAGGAAGGUGGGGAUGACGUCAAGUCCUCAUGGCCCUUAUGGGUAGGGCUUCACACGUCAUACAAUGGUCGGGACAGAGGGUCGCCAACCCGCGAGGGGGAGCCAAUCCCAGAAACCCGAUCGUAGUCCGGAUUGCAGGCUGCAACUCGCCUGCAUGAAGUCGGAAUCGCUAGUAAUCGCGGAUCAGCAUGUCGCGGUGAAUACGUUCCCGGGUCUUGUACACACCGCCCGUCACACCAUGGGAGUGGGUUUUACCAGAAGUAGUUAGCCUAACCGCAAGGAGGGCGAUUACCACGGUAGGAUUCAUGACUGGGGUGAAGUCGUAACAAGGUAGGCGUAGUGCU